Non-coding RNA from Desmophyllum pertusum, 77 nucleotides. The record is from the annotation of a GenBank genome assembly. NCBI's taxonomy places the organism in Eukaryota, Metazoa, Cnidaria, Anthozoa, Scleractinia, Caryophylliidae.
GCUUUGAUGGUCUAGUGGUUAGGACACUGCGUUGUGGCCGACAGUAACCCAGGUUCGAAUUCCUAGCGUUCAAAGCA